UACGGAGGGUGCAAGCGUUGCUCGGAAUUAUUGGGCGUAAAGCGCUCGCAGGUGGUUCGUUGCGUCGUGCGUGAAAGACCCCGGCUCAACUGGGGAGGGUCGUGCGAUACGGUCGAACUGGAGGCCAGUAGGGGGAUGCGGAAUUCCGGGUGUAGUGGUGGAAUGCGUAGAGAUCCGGAGGAACACCAGCGGCGAAGGCGGCAUCCUGGACUGGUCCUGACACUCAGGAGCGAAAGCGUGGGGAGCGAUCCGG
Molecule: ribosomal RNA, 253 nt
Filed under: uncultured bacterium
Lineage: Bacteria
Description: partial 16S ribosomal RNA
Rfam family: Bacterial small subunit ribosomal RNA
Source: RNAcentral